GGGGGUGAUUGGUCUCGACUUCGGUCGUGAGGCCAGGGGAAGCGAGCCGAGGAAGGCAACGAUGAGCUCGUUAACCAUGCGUUGCACAACACACAAGCGCCGACUCCAGUCAGCGCGACUUCGCUCUCGCUGCCUAACAGCAGCUAGGCGAGUCUGUCAGCCCGGGCUCUGCCAUCGGUCCGGAUCCUGGCAUCAGCUAGAUGGCUUCACCGUGCGGAUCGGUCGCGGAUCUGCACGGGACACCCCACAGCGACUGGGCUCGUCACACCGACUUGUCAGCGGGAUCGGUGGAGCCAAGCAGAGACAGAGUUGACUGCGCUCGGAGAAGCCCUGGCGUUGCGUCGGAGGACGCGGGUUCGAUUCCCGCCACCUCCACAU
RNAcentral lists this transfer-messenger RNA (378 nucleotides) under Modestobacter muralis. Its description in RNAcentral is "Standard tmRNA". It matches the Rfam family "transfer-messenger RNA". Rfam says of the family: Bacterial tmRNA, also known as 10Sa RNA or SsrA, is named for its dual tRNA and mRNA-like properties. The record is from Rfam by way of RNAcentral. Lineage: Bacteria; Bacillati; Actinomycetota; Actinomycetes; Geodermatophilales; Geodermatophilaceae.